CACCGCCGUCACACCACGAAGUGGUUAUAACCAGAAGCAGCUGAGCUAACCGCAAGGAGGCAAGCUACCAAGGUUGUAGCUGCAAUUGGGGUG
RNAcentral lists this ribosomal RNA (93 nucleotides) under uncultured bacterium. Its description in RNAcentral is "partial 16S ribosomal RNA". The record is from RNAcentral.